RNAcentral lists this long non-coding RNA (481 nucleotides) under Ficedula albicollis (Collared flycatcher). RNAcentral's name for it is "lncRNA (ENSFALG00000023387.1)". The record is from RNAcentral. Lineage: Eukaryota; Metazoa; Chordata; Aves; Passeriformes; Muscicapidae.
GGGGGGGGGGGGGGGGGGGGGGGGCCCGCCGCUCGAUUUCCUCUUUUUUUAAACCCCCAACAAAUGAGAUUUGAUUCGCUCCCGACCGCGCUGAGUCACGGAAUUCCCGAGCCCCGGAGCCGCCCGGCCCCGAGCGCCGGAGCCGCCGCCGGGACACUUUGGGGGGUCCCGGGGGGUCCCCAGCGGGCACAGCCAAGCUCUGAAGGACCCCAAACCUUCACCUGGAAGGAGCCGAUGCGAUGGAGGGAGCUCAGCCCCACCUGAGCGCAGACCUGACGACCCCGUACCUGAGGAAGGCUCCCACCCCCCCCGGCCAUGAGGACGCCGACACCGCCGUCAUCGCAGGUGAGGCCGCCGCUCCCCUCAUCCCACGGCAGCAAAGGAGCUCAAACUACCGUAAUCCCCACAAAACAGAAUUUUCCCACCUUCUUUCUGUCGCAGGAGAACAGGGUAACACAUCAGUUAAAAAUUAUUUUUUGGU